GUGCUUGCUUUGGCAGCACAUAUACUAAAAUUGCAACGAUACAGAGAAGAUUAGCACAGCCCCUGCACAAGGAUGACACGCAAAUUCGUGAAGCAUUCCAUAUUUUU
RNAcentral lists this small nuclear RNA (107 nucleotides) under Octodon degus (degu). The record is from RNAcentral. Lineage: Eukaryota; Metazoa; Chordata; Mammalia; Rodentia; Octodontidae.